UCAACCCAUACCACACACUCUGAUAUUCCCUCAUCUUUAUCUUAUCUUCAAGAUAGAAAGUUUUAGCAAUGUUCACUUCUUUUUGGCCAUUUUCCCCUCAGUUCUGUAACGUAGCAUUUUACUAUAUAAUAUUAAUGUCUAAUUAAAAAAAAUACAGAAUGAUAUUGCAUUUUAAAAUUAUAAGUAAAAUCACGCAUAUAAGUGGCUUUUUAUAUAAAAAGCUCAUUUCACAAAUAUGUUAGGACUUAAUUGUGAAAUUGGUUUUGAUUAUAAGGUUGAUCACAAUGCAGUAAGGUUCACAUAAUCUGUAGAUAAUGAAGACUACAUACACAAAUUUUAAACCAGGAACACUGCUCCUCCCAGUAAUGCUACCAUGGCCAGGCUACUAGUUCCAUGCUUGAAACCCGCGAAGCCUUGGCUAGACGAGGAAGGGGUGUAGCGCGGGAUUCCACUGGUGGAGCUACCUCUCGAUCCCCUCAGGGACAUGGAAGGUGCUGGUGCUGGUUCUGAAACCAGGGGACCAGGGCCCUUGGCCGGAGAAGUCAUUGUGCUGGAGUGCAACACUGCCGGAGCUUGGCCAGAGGAUAAGACAACAAACGUAUAUGAGAAGAUUAGCAUGAGCAUGACACGCGGGAGGGACAUGAUGCUCUCUAACUCUUGAUUCUUAAGGGUAUGAAGAUAAGAUGAGCUAGAGGCAUUAGAAUGCCUCAAAGAGUCAAGGUUGAUUUUAACAGAUGCAAGUAUUUCAUCUGAAUCUUAUCUCUCUUAAUGUGUGGUGCUGAGGCUUUCUCAUUCCAUGUGCUUAUAACUAUGGUGCCCACAAGACUUCCAUAGUUACUGCCCUUGCACAAAGUUACUUGGUUGUCACAGUGACAGCCAAGGAGAGUAGACUCCGAAGAGUCGUCUGAGUGAGCAGGACCAGUUGCGCAUAGUGGACCAAAAUUGAUUAACAAAGUAUGUCAUUCCAGAAAACAAGAUCAUACCCUCACCAAGACUCUCCAGCAGGAUCUUCUCGGGUCAGUCUGAUUCAAUCUAUUAACCGAGUAGUCCUCACUGUGCAUCAAUUGCUAAUAUAUUAAUGUCUCGUAUGCAAUUGAAGUUUCACAGGAUCUAAACAAGUGAAAUCUUAGUAAAGUGAUUCUAGCAUUGUGCUUGUUAGACGAUACGAGUACACAGACCAUUAGGCAAAGAUCUAACUAUGUGAAAUUCUGGCAAAGCGAUUCUACCAUUGUACUUGUUAAAUGAUACAAUAUCCAACCUAUUAGGCCAAAAAUUGGUCAGAUCCAACCACGUAGCAAGGAUAUUGUAUUCGCAGUACUGAACGACGGUAAGAGAGACACAACAAAUAGCUGAAAACAAUACCUCUAAAGCAAAAAUAUAUAGACUUUACAUAACUGUGUAAUUCCUGACUCAGUAACAAUUACGAGAUUAAACUGAAUAACAGUAUUCUUAUUGACCUAGUUUAAAAUGCUACAAGAGAGUUGUAACAUUAAAUAAAUCUUCAACAGACCACAUACUGACCUCCAAGAUAAAACACAAAGAUUAAAACUCCACGAGGACCAAAACAAAAGAGACACAAUAUAAUACACAAAAGUUUUAAACCAGAAGUACAGCUCCUCCCAAUAAUGCUAGCAUGGCUAGGCUACUUCCCUGCUUGAAAGCUGCUGACCCUGGGGUAGACUCCACGGGUGACAUACCCGUCAUGGUUGGGGUCGGAGCCAUUGCAGGUCCCAUUGGUGCUGGUGGUGAACUCAUCGAAUCAGGACUCAUGGCUGGAGUCAUCAUCAUCUCAGGUGGAGUAGCCAUUGGUGCUGGCAUCAUCAUCGGAGGAGGUGUCAUCAUCACUGGAGGUGGUGUCAUCAUCUCAGGUGGACUAGCUAUUGGUGCUGGCAUCAUCAUUGGAGGAGGUGUCAUCAUCAUUGGAGGUGGUGUCAUCAUCAUAGGAGGUGGAGUCACCAUUGGAGGUGGUGUCAUCAUCAUAGGUGGCAUGGUGGUGGAGGGUGACAUUGCCGGAGCUUGACCAGAGGAUAAGACAACGAACGUAAGUGAGAAGGUUAGCAUGAGCAUGGCAUGUGAAAAGGCCAUGACUCUCUCAGACUCUAAGAGUGUGAAGAUAAGAUGAAGGAAUGAGAGGAGGAUGUGAGGAAUAUAUGUAGCUGGGUCGUAAGAAUGCUUCGAGUCUGAUUUCAAUUUGUUUAUAUAAUGGCUGGAAGAGGGUAGUUUGGAGAAUUAUCAUCAGGUUGUCUUCGUUGAGAAUGAGUGGAAUAGAAUGGAAUAGAGUGGAAGGCUUUAAGCAACAUUAAAGUUAUACAAUGUCAUUACAGUAUGAUAUUAUGUUUGCUAAACAGUCUGAUAACUGAUCUUAUCUAUUUAAAUACAAGAAGAAUUACCAGUCACUGGCCUACAGAGUCACUGAUAGAUAUUAGAUAGCAUGGAAUUUACAUGCAUAAAAGCAUGAUGUGUCACAUGAAUAAGUUCUUGAUAUAAAAGUGAAAUGCUGAAUGAAUAAAAGAUAUUCAAUAAUGAGUGUACCAUUUUUUCCGUUAGAAAACAGAAGAUAUAACUGGCAACAGCACCACAUGAGAAAGACUGCCAACUGGCAAUACAUAUAGACCUCUAGAACUACGAAGGGAAUAAGGAGGAUAUCAUCUCUCUCUAUCUCUCUCUAAUGGGUGAUGGUAAUGUUUCUCCUCUCCAUGUGCUACGAAAAUUAACUGGUACCAAUCAGGGUCCUUAAUAAGAUUCGGGAGCUUUAUAAUGAUAAUUAUAUAUGUAAAUAAUUUAUCAUUUUACGGUUAUAUUUUCUAGACACAUUAUCCUCACCUUUUUAUUUUUCUACAACAAAGACAGAAUGACAGGACAACAGGAUACUAAAGUAAAACAGAGGUCCUGUACAUUCAUGUACCUCGUUUGCUCCAUGCCUAUGCUUGUAAUGCUACUAUAGUCGCUACUACUCUAGACAUUUACUUGGUUGAUAUAAUGACAGCUAAUUGAGGAAAGAAGCAUUUGUCAAUGUUUCCAAGUGACCAUAGACCUCUUUUACUUGGUGAAUGAAUAUAUAUGAAUAAUUUAGAGGAUUAUUAGCAAAGUAAUUGGUAGUUUAGAAUCACCAACUGCUCAUACUUACACUUCACCUUGUGAGCUAUUUGAAUAUCAUCAGAUCUAAUUAAGUGGAUUGUUAAGCAUCGAUUCUUGGACAAUUUAAAUGUGCAAAUACUGUCGAAAUUAAACAUGUGAUUGAGCAGAAUAAACUCUAUAUGUCCCAUAUCAAAUAAAUAAUAUACACAUAUUUCAUAACAAGAUAACAAUGUGGACGCGUGCUCCAACCCGAUAAACAUCACUAAGCAUGCGUGUCUUAGAAAGAAUAAAAAAUCUCAUUACCAUAGUCUGUAUGUAACUAUGUAGCACCUCGCAUACGCAAAAAGUUGUUUGGCUGUAAUAGGCCAUAUCAUACAUAAUCACUUCUGCUCACCUAGAAGCGGUUGAUUUACAUCAGCUGCAAAAUGAAAAUAUUCUUUAAGUGAUUUAAGCAUUGUACACAAUACAAAUACCUAAACCAUUAUGCAAAAACUAAAUUUCAGCCACAUAGUAAGGGCAAUACAUUUGGCAAACUGGAUUAACGAGAUAAUACUUGCAAAAAGCCCAAUAAGAAAGGGACGCAAUAGCUUAAAACUGAAGUAUAAACAGAUAUAUGACAGGAAACAAAACUAUCAAACAGAUAUAUCACUGUACAUAACAGGGUACUUCCUAAUCUGAAUCUGACUUCAAGGAUUUCCAGCGGAACAUUAAAAAUAAAAUGUUCUUAUAUAUAUCAACCCAAGUUACCAUGCAUUAAACACAAAUCCUCCGCACAAGAAUGUCCAAAAAAAAAAAGUUGACCAUUAACUUAACUGAAUCCUUUGACCUCUGAAAUUAUUAUCUAUACAAAUGCUGAAAGAAAUGCCGGACAAGAGGGGGAUUGGAUUUAGUGAGGAUUAUAAAUUAUAAUAGAUAUAGAAAUUGAUGAUGUAAAAAUGCCAAUGGACUAGUGUGUGCUAAAGGGUUUAUAUUCUGGACAACAGAUGAUUUAAGAUUUCAAUCGGCAAAAAAACGAACAAUUAUGUUUCACUGUGAUGAAGUGAAACUUUGUGACACACUAGUACCAAAAGGGAAGUAUAUAAGAAACAUGUCAAACAUCAAAUUGCAUCCACAGAGUUUCAUAAAUAUAUUGAAAACAAUAUUUUCAGCUUUAGGGUGUACACGAGGCAGCAUAGACACAUAAUUCUGAAAGUGCUUGCAAACACAAACAUAGAGAACAAAAGAAAUGCAAAAUAUGAUAUAUGAGAUAAGAUAUACUACCUCCAGGACUAUGUUGCCCGAAAACCGCAGGCUUGUUUUUUCUUUCUGCAUAUUCAGCUAUGACCAAACGAGAUAAGAGUAGACCCGCAAUAAGAGCACCCAGACUCAACAUCCCAAAAACAAAAUUCCAUCCUUUCGUUGACAGAAACCCCGUAAGAAGUGGACCUAAAGCAGCACCAAGUGAUCCCGUACCGUCGAUGAUUGCUGUCACUGUUGCCAGAGCUCGAGAAUUACCCAUAACAGAGCUAUGUGUACCAAGAUCUGCAGAGACUGCAGUUGUUAUAAGUGCAUAUGGCCCAUUCACAAAUAAACCCGCAAUUAUCAUGAGCACAAUGUUUAUCGUCUGAGAGAUGUUCCCAUAUUUGCGGUACAGUAUCAUUGCAGGAAUGGCUGCAUACAUAAAGGUGGCUGCUGUUGUGGCCCGUGCCUUCAAUUUAUCAGAUAUGUAACCAGCUAGAAUCCCACCAACAAUCCCUCCUACAUCAAACAAUGUAGAAAGAUUUCCAGCAGAUCUCACUGACAUAUACUCACCACCAAUAGCUGCAAACUCAUUCAAAAAGACGAUAUAAGAGAUGUAAACCCCAACACUCCAAAUAUCUAAAAUUAGUUAUCACAAGAACAGGAAUAUCAGAGAGUUCCCAGGUAUGUAAUAGGAAAACAGGUUCUAUAAAUACAAUCCGAACUAAAUAGACAACACUGACCAAUUUAUGAGUUCAGAGCCCAUAUUCAUAAAAAUUACGGAGUUACUAUCUAUGUCAACUUAUGUACUUGGGCAGGGGUAUCUAGAAAUAAUUCUUUACAAGUUGUUGCCUUAUCUUAGUAUAAUAACCUUUACCUUUGUUUUUCCUUCUGAUAUAACAAUUUUAUUAAAAAUAGGUAAGGUCGUCACUGAGGUUUUAGACACUUUUUUUUUUUGAGAGAGAGAAGGUUUUAGACACUUUAACAUAGAAUAAAACUUUGAUUAUUUGUUCAUUAAAUGGUGGAAUUGGUUUCUGGGUAUCCUUAGGGUUAUCUAUGAUGUCGUUUAAGAAGUUAAGUACUUAGGGGUAAGGACUGUACCAAUUUUUUCAAAUGCGGAACAGAUUUGGCUGGAAAAAAGAACAUUUCAGGGAAUAUUCAGGCGUAGUAUGAAAUUGUUGAAUUAGAACAGAGGAAAUGGAUCAACCGGCGCCCUUUCUUAUCCCGUAAGGUCAGCUCCCAGCUUUUACUCACAUUUUUUCCUCCUUUCUUAAUAAAAAUAUUCUCAAUGCAUACAAGUGGGGUUGGCGUGUUUUAAUAUUUGUAUCAGUUCACACAGGUGUGCGUGCUUGCAGAUACAUAUGAGCCAUGUGUGUGGUUAGGGGACUUGACCCUGCUCGCAUGAAGGCGCCACCAUAUAAAAUAAAG
This 5724-nucleotide long non-coding RNA is filed under the name Daucus carota (carrot). Its description in RNAcentral is "long non-coding RNA (DCAR_LNC000031)". Lineage: Eukaryota; Viridiplantae; Streptophyta; Magnoliopsida; Apiales; Apiaceae. The record is from RNAcentral.